RNAcentral lists this ribosomal RNA (379 nucleotides) under uncultured bacterium. RNAcentral's name for it is "bacterial SSU rRNA". It matches the Rfam family "Bacterial small subunit ribosomal RNA", at positions 28 to 408 of the family's 1533-position model. The record is from RNAcentral.
GACGAACGCUGGCGGCGUGCUUAGCACAUGCAAGUCGAGCGGUAAGGCCCUUUCGGGGGUACACGAGCGGCGAACGGGUGAGUAACACGUGGGUGACCUGCCCUCAGCUCUGGGAUAAGCCUGGGAAACUGGGUCUAAUACCGGAUAUGACUCCAUGACGCAUGUUGUGGGGUGGAAAGCCUUGUGCGGCUGAGGAUGGGCCCGCGGCCUAUCAGCUUGUUGGUGGGGUGAUGGCCUACCAAGGCGACGACGGGUAGCCGGCCUGAGAGGGCGACCGGCCACACUGGGACUGAGACACGGCCCAGACUCCUACGGGAGGCAGCAGUGGGGAAUCUUGCGCAAUGGGCGAAAGCCUGACGCAGCGACGCCGCGUGAGGGA